This 428-nucleotide ribosomal RNA is filed under the name Actinomycetes bacterium. RNAcentral describes it as "Actinobacteria bacterium partial 16S ribosomal RNA". It matches the Rfam family "Bacterial small subunit ribosomal RNA", at positions 355 to 776 of the family's 1533-position model. Lineage: Bacteria; Bacillati; Actinomycetota; Actinomycetes. The record is from RNAcentral.
UAGGGAAUCUUCCGCAAUGGGCGAAAGCUUGACGGAGCAACGCCGCGUGAGUGAUGAAGGUCUUCGGAUCGUAAAACUCUGUUAUUAGGGAAGAACAAAUGUGUAAGUAACUAUGCACGUCUUGACGGUACCUAAUCAGAAAGCCACGGCUAACUACGUGCCAGCAGCCGCGGUAAUACGUAGGUGGAAGCGUUAUCCGGAAUUAUUGGGCGUAAAGCGCGCGUAGGCGGUUUUUUAAGUCUGAUGUGAAAGCCCACGGCUCAACCGUGGAGGGUCAUUGGAAACUGGAAAACUUGAGUGCAGAAGAGGAAAGUGGAAUUCCAUGUGUAGCGGUGAGAUGCGCAGAGAUAUGGAGGAACACCAGUGGCGAAGGCGACUUUCUGGUCUGUAACUGACGCUGAUGUGCGAAAGCGUGGGGAUCAAACAGG